RNAcentral lists this ribosomal RNA (770 nucleotides) under uncultured bacterium. Its description in RNAcentral is "bacterial SSU rRNA". It matches the Rfam family "Bacterial small subunit ribosomal RNA", at positions 28 to 793 of the family's 1533-position model. The record is from RNAcentral.
AUUGAACGCUGGCGGAAUGCUUUACACAUGCAAGUCGAGCGGCAGCGCGGUCUUCGGACUGGCGGCGAGCGGCGAACGGGUGAGUAAUACAUCGGAACAUGCCCAGUCGUGGGGGAUAACACUUCGAAAGAAGUGCUAAUACCGCAUACGUCCUGAGGGAGAAAGCGGGGGAUCGCAAGACCUCGCGCGAUUGGAGUGGCCGAUGUCAGAUUAGCUAGUUGGUGGGGUAAAGGCCUACCAAGGCAACGAUCUGUAGCUGGUCUGAGAGGAUGAUCAGCCACACUGGGACUGAGACACGGCCCAGACUCCUACGGGAGGCAGCAGUGGGGAAUUUUGGACAAUGGGGGCAACCCUGAUCCAGCCAUUCCGCGUGAGUGAAGAAGGCCUUCGGGUUGUAAAGCUCUUUCGGCAGGAACGAAACGGCGAGCUCUAACAUAGCUCGCUAAUGACGGUACCUGAAGAAGAAGCACCGGCUAACUACGUGCCAGCAGCCGCGGUAGUACGUAGGGUGCGAGCGUUAAUCGGAAUUACUGGGCGUAAAGCGUGCGCAGGCGGUUGUGUAAGACAGGUGUGAAAUCCCCGGGCUUAACCUGGGAACUGCGCUUGUGACUGCACGGCUAGAGUAUGGCAGAGGGAGGUGGAAUUCCACGUGUAGCAGUGAAAUGCGUAGAGAUGUGGAGGAACACCGAUGGCGAAGGCAGCCCCCUGGGCCAAUACUGACGCUCAUGCACGAAAGCGGUGGGGAGCAAACAGGAUUAGAUACCCUGUAG